RNAcentral lists this non-coding RNA (163 nucleotides) under uncultured Ruminococcus sp. Its description in RNAcentral is "malK-I RNA". It matches the Rfam family "malK-I RNA". Lineage: Bacteria; Bacillati; Bacillota; Clostridia; Eubacteriales; Oscillospiraceae. The record is from RNAcentral.
GUACGCUCACUCCACAUUAUGAAUGUACGUACAUACAAAAAGGAGGAUUAUUUCCGUGGCUCGCGGUGCGGCAGUGUGGAGACCUGUCGUAAUGCGGUGCAUUUCAACGAAGAUGCCGCGAGGCGGUUUGGAGGAGUCCUUACCGUCAGAGUUUAUUAAAUGU